GAUGAACGCUGGCGGCGUGCCUAAUACAUGCAAGUCGAGCGAACGGACGAGAAGCUUGCUUCUCUGAUGUUAGCGGCGGACGGGUGAGUAACACGUGGAUAACCUACCUAUAAGACUGGGAUAACUUCGGGAAACCGGAGCUAAUCCCGGAUGAUAUUUUGAACCGCAUGGUUCAAAAGUGAAAGACGGUCUUGCUGUCACUUAUAGAUGGAUCCGCGCUUCAUUAGAUAGUUGGUAAGGUAAAGGCUUACCAAGGCAACGAGGCAUAGCCGACCUGAGAGGGUGGUCGGCGACACGGGAACGGAGACACGGUCCUGACUCCUACGAGAGGCAGCAGUAGGGAACCGGACGCAAUGGGCGAAAGCCUGACGGAACAACGCCGCGUGAGUGAUGAAGGCCUUCGGAUCGGAAAACUCUGUUAUUAGGGAAGAACAUAUGUGUAAGUAACUGUGCACAGCGUGACGGUACCGAAUCAGAAAGCCACGGCUAACUACGUG
Molecule: ribosomal RNA, 497 nt
Filed under: uncultured bacterium
Lineage: Bacteria
Description: partial 16S ribosomal RNA
Rfam family: Bacterial small subunit ribosomal RNA
Source: RNAcentral